UGACAUCCCUGUUGCCCGGCAACUUCAUAGCUGGAUAGAUGACAGGAGGAGCCGGGCUGGUUCUCAGAGAGGCGGCCAGUGAGAGUAGCCACCUUCCUGGGCCAGUCUGCACCACCGCCUCUAUGACUGCGGUUUGAAAAGCAGCUUGAAUCCGUGGUCAUGGCGGCAUUGGGAGUUGGACAUAACGCUUCAGUGGCCAAACCAAAGGUCUCAGCGGCAAACAUUUGUGCAAACCGAAGGUUCAAUAUGGAGUUUGGUGAAGCAAGCCAUAGGCUGCUUUUGCUGUGGAACUGCAGUUUCGCAUUCGGACAUACUGGGGGGCUGUAUGUUUCCUGUUGCACUUGGAUUAUGAAGUGUAGUCUACCACUAAAUAAUUUGGAUGUGGGUGUUUGCAGAGGUCCUUGGUAUAAAAACCCUCAAGAACUCGACCUGUCACUUCCCAUGGCAGCAGUUGGAAAGGAAUUGAAUCCAAUGAUGCUCCAACUGCCACUCCUAAUGAACAAGCACGAGUGCGGGGCGGGGCGGAGCUAGAGCAUUUUCCAAGCUUGGAGAGCCCUACCGAUGGCGGCUGCUGUGCAUGCACAAUCCCAGUUGUGUGAAUACAGCCAGGCUCACAUCAAGGAUCCUCUAGUUUUGCUACCUGCGUAUGACUUGUAAACAUGGCAUGGGCCUGAAGCAUCUGUCAGGCCACAGGAUUUGGCUGGUGGACUGCAUUUGCUUUGUUGGGUCACAGGUUAUGUAUUUGUAGCACAGGAAAGCAAUGAUCUGACUCUCCUGCUGGCAUUGCAUGAAAAGGAAAUAUACAGAUUAAUAGCAUUUAAAAUUACAAUAAACUUGAGGAGGUCUACUGUA
Hemicordylus capensis (graceful crag lizard) is the source of this 852-nucleotide long non-coding RNA. RefSeq lists it as uncharacterized. The record is from RefSeq and is a predicted model, not a curated record. Lineage: Eukaryota; Metazoa; Chordata; Lepidosauria; Squamata; Cordylidae. The transcript has 3 exons.